RNAcentral lists this ribosomal RNA (950 nucleotides) under uncultured archaeon. Its description in RNAcentral is "bacterial SSU rRNA". It matches the Rfam family "Archaeal small subunit ribosomal RNA", at positions 119 to 1078 of the family's 1478-position model. The record is from RNAcentral.
GAAGGGGAUAACCUCGGGAAACUGAGGAUAAUACCCUAUAGGAUACCGAUGCUGGAAUGCCCGGUAUCCCAAAGCUCCGGCGCCUUAGGAUGGAUCUGCGGCCGAUUAGGUCGUUGUUGGGGUAACGGCCCAACAAGCCGAUAAUCGGUACGGGUUGUGGGAGCAAGAGCCCGGAGUUGGAUUCUGAGACACGAAUCUAGGCCCUACGGGGCGCAGCAGGCGCGAAAACUUUACAAUGCGGGCAACCGUGAUAAGGGAACCUCGAGUGCCUGUACAUGCAGGCUGUCUGGGUGUCUAAAACACACCUAAAGAAAGGGCCGGGCAAGACCGGUGCCAGCCGCCGCGGUAAUACCGGCGCUCGAGUGGUGGCCACUUUUAUUGGGCUUAAAGCGUUCGUAGCUGGGUUGUUAAGUCUCUUGGGAAAUCUGGCAGCUUAACUGUCAGGCGUCUAAGAGAUACUGGCAAUCUAGGAACCGGGAGAGGUGAGGGGUACUUCGGGGGUAGGAGUGAAAUCCUGUAAUCCUCGAGGGACCACCUGUGGCGAAGGCGCCUCACCAGAACGGCUUCGACAGUGAGGGACGAAAGCUGGGGGAGCAAACCGGAUUAGAUACCCGGGUAGUCCCAGCCGUAAACGAUGCGCGUUAGGUGUGUCGAUGACCACGAGUCAUCGAGGUGCCGAAGGGAAACCGUGAAACGCGCCGCCUGGGAAGUACGGUCGCAAGGCUGAAACUUAAAGGAAUUGGCGGGGGAGCACCACAACAGGUGGAGCCUGCGGUUUAAUUGGCAACGCCGGGAAGCUCACCGGAUAGGACAGCAGAAUGAUUGCCGGGCUGAAGACUCUGCAUGACUAGCUGAGAGGAGGUGCAUGGCCGUCGUCAGUUCGUACUGUGAAGCAUCCUGUUAAGUCAGGCAACGAGCGAGACCCACGCCAACAGUUGCCAGCACGAUCC